GGAGAGAUGCCGGAGUGGACGAACGGGUCUGACUCGAAAUCAGAAGUGCCCGCAAGGGUACCGGGGGUUCGAAUCCCUCUCUCUCCGCCA
RNAcentral lists this transfer RNA (90 nucleotides) under Verrucomicrobiota bacterium JB022. RNAcentral's name for it is "tRNA-Ser". It matches the Rfam family "tRNA". Rfam says of the family: Transfer RNA (tRNA) molecules are approximately 80 nucleotides in length. Their secondary structure includes four short double-helical elements and three loops (D, anti-codon, and T loops). The record is from RNAcentral. Lineage: Bacteria; Pseudomonadati; Verrucomicrobiota.